CAACAGAACUGUGUUGUCUUACACUUCGGACUCCCAUGUGCCAGCAGAGUGGACUUCUUCUGAGCACCAGAGGAAGAGGCUGUUCCAGAUUGUUCUCCUGGCUUCUAGUAGCCUCAGACUUGCAGAUGGCAUUUCCUGUGCCUUCACACCUCCGCUGUCGAUGUGUCUGUGUCCAAAUUUCCUGUUUACCUAGGAACGGCGGUCACAUCAGAUCGGAGCCCACCCCAAUAACCUCAGCCUGACUUGAUCGUCUCUGAAAAGCCCGUUUCUAAAGACGGUCACAUCUGCAGGUGAGAAGACUGAGGUCCAAGGAUGCCCAGGCAUUAGGUACGCUGUCCCCCAGCUCCUGGUUCAUCCCUCACCUUACCCAAAACCUGGGAUCUGGCAAGAAAGGAAACCCUUCUAUGAGCCAGAACCCUCUGCCGGGUUCUGUCAGCAGAUCUUGCCACCUGUACAGCGACAGUCUGGCCCACCUGCUCACUGCCUCCAGUAUACCCACUCGUUCCCAUGAUGCACCUGCAUCUCAUCCGGACCCGGGAAGGCGGAAGACAGCAUGAGGAAGCUGAACUCCAAGAAGAGGAGCCACCCUGUGUGUAUAUUCGAUUAGGGCACCACCCCCUGGGGACUGCUGGACACACAGCCUUUUUGCUCCCUGAAGAUCCCUUCUCUCGCCUUCUCCCACCAUGGGCAUCCCUCUGACCCUCUCAUGGGGAGCUUUUCUCCUCGUGGGAUCACCUCCAUGCACACUCGCAUGUAUUCUCACUCCAAAUAAGUCACACUCUCAUUUCUGCUUGUUAUUUAUGCCUUAUCUUAUUCAAAUCCUUAUCUCACGCAGGGGCGGGAACUUGGAAUAAAAACUGGGAUACAUAUUCCCACAACAAUUUUGUCGACUUCUUCCAGUAAUUCUGUUGAGAUAAGGGCUAGCAUGACACAGAUCCUCCAAAAAGAGAAAGCCGAGGGUCCAUGAGGUAAGUGCUUUGCUUGCCAGGGGCAGAGGUAGGAUGGGAGCUCCAGGCGGACGGAGCCUCCUGGGGGUUGGGUUUUCUUUCAGUGAGAGUAAGUUCCAUGGAGGGCAUCGCAUCUCCCUAACACUGCCUGGUCAAGGAAACUGAGAUUUGUCCCUGUGCGAAGACCUCUGGCAGUCAGGGGAAAAGUGUUGAUUGGGAGCUGGCCUGUGUUCACCAGGCUCUGUCCUCUUGCUUCAUAUUCCCAAUCUUUCCUCUACCUGUGGGCAUUGGUAAAAUAUAGAAACGUGGUCACUAAAGAGCUUCAGGAAUUAGGAUGCCAAAUAAAACUGAAAGAGCCGUGGAGACCAAUGGGGACUGUCCCAUCAGGGUGAUUGUGACCAAAGCAGCUAAGAGAAUGAGAAACACCAUGCCAAGUGCCAACAGUCAGGCUGGGAAAAUAAGUGCCGUAGGAGCUCCCUGUAGGUGGAUGGGGCCGAAGGGGAGCCAGGGUAAUUGAUGGGCCACUGUGACUUCCUAGGUGGACAAUGGGCAAAGCAACCCCAAGGUUGAUCCACCGUUCAACACGCAGACAAGGUUGGAGAAGCAGAAUCUGAGGUUCCCGUAGCCCAGAAGGUUUUCCUGGAAAGUAGUUGCUUGUGUUGAUCAAUGUGAGAAGCUGGGUCCAUGAUGCUUGUCCAGGAAGUGGAGCUGUUUCCUGCAAGGUGGCACCUAGGUGUGCAUGUAUAGCAGCCCUCAUAGGGAACCCAGAGGAGGAACUUGGUUUUGAGGAAGACGCUCUUCGCCAACUUUAGCCAUUUCCAUUGUUGAAUAUCAUGUGUGACAUUGUGAAAUACCUAUUUGGUAUUCAUCCCCAUUCCUGGCAUGUAACUCCUAAAAUCCUUGGAAUUUCUAUGUAUGCUAAUGAGUUAAUGAAUGGCUGGGGUCUCCAAGACAGCUGCAGAAUGGGACUGGUUACAUGAUGACCAAGGGGAAUCAGAGACUUGAGGCUUUCAGCCCUGGUGAUGCAAGCCUAACUGUUUUCAUCAUUAAUCUGGGUUCUUUCCCCCACAGGGAUAAGAAUUCAAACCAGAAGUACAUAUAGAGCGUAAAAGGGAGAGCAGGAUGUUAUAAAAAGUGGGAGAGUGAACAUCCAUUCACACGUGAGCAUGGACCACCCCACAUGGAGAAAUACCCACCAUAAGUGGGCCAAAGGGUUACAUAUGAGGAGAGAGAGGCAGAGAGGACCAAGGGAGGUCCCUCAAGCAUGGUCAAGGGAAGGCCUCCCCCUGGCUAUCAUCAUGGUAGAGGGUGUUGGCUUAGUUGAACAAACAAAGAGGGUGGGGUCUUAGCAUGCACAAAGCAUUCUGAGACUUUUUUUUUUUUUUAAAGGUAGAGUUAUAGACAGUGAAAGAGAGAGACAAAGAGAAAGGUCUUCCUUCCGUUGGUUCACUCCCCAAAUGGCCUCUACAGCUGGCGCUGCAGCGAUCAAAAGCCAGGAGCCAGGAGCUUCUUCCUGGUCUCCCACCCAGGUGCAGGGGCCCAAGCACUUGGGCCAUCCUCGCUGCCUUUCCAGGCCACAGCAGAGAGCUGGACUGGAAGAGGAGCAACCGGGACUGGAACCCGGUGCCCAUAUCGGAUGCUGACGCCACAGGCGGAGGAUUACCCUAGUAAGCCACGGCGCCAGCCCCCAUUCUGGGACUUUUAAGGCACUUCCACGUGGAGUUUGACUUCCAUGUGGCCCUCCCUGGUCCCAGAUGAGAUACAGGUGUGUUCUGAGAAGGUGGGCAUAUUAGAUUGACAAGUGAUGGGAUGCAGUUACAAUGCAAGGAUGGCAAAAAUUCCAGAUCACCUAUGUCUAUCUAACUUCCUGCCUAGUUUCCCCGUAUCACCAGCCGCCAACCUCCAGGGAAGGAGCUAAAAGAAGUUGAUCACCAGUGGCCAAUGGUUUAAUCAAUCAGCCCUGUGCAACGAAGCCUCCAAAAGGACAGCAUUUGGAGAACGUAUGGGUAACUAAACACACGGAGGACCCUGGAUGGUGGCACAUCCAGAAAACACAAGGGGACUCUGUACCCAUUCCCGGCUGCCUUGCCCUAUGCCUCUUUUCAUCUAUACCCUGAGCUCCAUGAGCUAUUGUAGCAAAUCAAACUCAAGGAGAGGGUUCUGGGAUCCCUAGUUUAGAUCCCAUUGGUUAGAAGCACAGAAAACAACCUGGACUUGCAAAUGGCAUCUGAAGGCAAAUGGGGAGGGGGAGGGGAGGGCAGUCUUGGGAUGAGCCCUCAACCCAUGGGAUCCACUGUCCAGGUGGAUGGUGGCAGCACAAAAUUGAAUUAGAGGAACAUUGAGCAUUGCUUGCUUGCUACAUAGGGGAAAUAGCCUGCACCCUAAUGGCAGAAGCCUGUUGGAUAGGAGUAUAGGAGAAACUGAUUUGAAGUUUGCUUUUCCUAUUUAAGUGCAAAAGUCAUGACUUGAAAGUUGUGGAAUCCGUCCAACAUUCCUGGGCCUUUCUGAAGUACAGGCCAAGUGGAAUGGGAACAGAGCCUCCAGGAGUUCUCAGCUGCAGUUCCCAAAGGGAGACUGUUGGCGCUUUGCAAUUGGUGAGGCAGGGCCAGUGAGCAUUCCCAGCAGGGACAAUGCUGCCGCUUCCCUGGGGACGAGUCCAUCACUGUCAAGGCUGGACUAAUACGUAAUGAUGAGGAGGGGUUAACAUUCUAAUGGGUCACUGAGUAUUGCUGAAAUGCUGAGCUAACCUGGGGCAGGGAGGCUGGGAGGCACGCAGCACAGCACAAGGGUUUGGACUGAACACCUGCUCCAUGCCCGCUCACCACUGGGCAGUGAGGGGCUGCUUCAGAUCUCCUGUGCAUUGGUAAGGCUCAUGUCCUGCCUUUCGUGCUGUCGUGAGUAGAGACUCAAGAGCCAAGGCAGAGACAGACUGAUCAUAUAUUUGAGAGAAAAGCCUCAUUUUCCUGUAUUGUCUGCUCUAGGCCAUGCACACAGGCCCCAUCUGAAUGUAAAAGAGACAAUGUAUUUCUAAGAAAAAUUAGUCCCUCAGGAAAUUCAUUGAAAGAGACACAGAGAACAGUUUAGCUUUGCUCUUGCAUUUCUGAUUGUUUUAUUCCCUUUAGUGCAGUACUACGAAGUAGGGUCAAACAGAGGUGAUCACAGUCAUUAAUAUAUGUUAGCAAGUAUUCUAGUUCCCUCUCCUAGUCCCGUCUCCGGAAGAAGCCCCUGGUAUGUCUCCUGAAGGUUCAUAGUAAGAGGAAGCGAGGCCUCUUGCCCAUGCCCAUGUGAGUGUAUCACCUGGAAACGGGUCCCCAACACAGGCUGAGGUCUUGUGUUGCACUGUGGCAUAGCGAGUAAAGCCGCUGCCUGUAGUUCUGGCAUCCCAUAUGGGUGCUAGUUCAAGUCCCGGCUGCUCCACUUCUGAUCCAGCUCUCUGCUAUGGCCUGGGAAGGCAGUAGAAGAUGGCCCAAGUUCUUGGGCCCCUGCACCCAUGUGGGAGACUCGGAAGAAGCUCCUGGCUCCUGGCUUCAGAGCAGCGCAGCUCCAGCCGUUGCAGCCAAUUGAGGAGCGAAGUAGCAGAUGGAAGACCUCUCUCUCUCUCUCUCUGUCUCUCCUUCUCUCUCUGUGUAACUCUGACUUUCAAAUAAAUAAAUAAACCUUAAAAAAAAACACUUCUAGUGGAGCUGUCAUUGCACACUACUUUUCUCAUGGAAGUCUUUGGAACUCUGUGCCCUGCAGUUUCCAAAGUCAAACCAAACAAAGAGCAGACACUAACAGAAAGCAAUGGACUGGCUGGGUAAUUACAGCCUUAAGAUAAAACCUUUAACACCUUUCCCAGCCAAAUUUGUGAUCCUACAUCCUUCCUUUAUGGAAGUCCUAGAACUGCCAUCAGUCACUUCGAAAACCAGGCUUUCUAAAUAGGAGACCAUAUCUCUAAACCUUUCCCUUUAUCUCAGUAGGAGGAAAUUGCUUAAAUGCAGUGGAUGCUGUGGGCCCUGAAAAGAUUAUCUUAUAGGACAAAGAAAUUACAUCAUUUCUAUUUUUAUUUUUAUCACUUGUUAAGCCCCAGUAAAAUGUAGAAUACUUUUUUCAAGAAAAUCCCAAGUCUCAGGAAAUGCCUGCGGUAAGCUCAGGACCAGAGCUACAGGAGACCAAAGCAAGCACUAACUUAACGCUGACCCUCUAGGAAACGAACAUGGAGUUAGAGAGACAAGACAUGCCUGGGGCUGGCACUGUGGCACAGUAAGUUAAGCAACCCCCUCAGCACUGGCAUCCCAUAUGAGCACCGGGUCAAGUCCCGGCUGCUCCUUUUCUGAUCCAGCUCUCUCCUAAUGGCCUGGGAAAACAGUGGAAGAUGGCCCAAGUGCACCUGUGUGGGAGACCCAGAAGAAGCUCCUGGCUUUAAAUCAGCUCAGCUGUGGUCAUUGCAGUUAAUUGGGGAGUGAAGUAGCUAAUGGGAGACCUUUCUCUCUCUGUCUCGCCCUCUCUCUGUAACUCUACAUCUCAAAUAAAUAAAUAAAAUUUUAAACAACAACAACAACAAAAGACAUGCCUGAAAUCAACUGGGGGAAAAAAAAAACGAAAUUUAAGUGGUGAUAGUGUUGGAGGGAAGAAAAAAACAAUUUCUCUCUACUCUUUACUGGUCUUAGCUAAGGCAGCCUGCUACAAGCAAAAACAGAUUAACAAGGGAAAAACAAACACUCGCUCGCUGACCUGUGUAUCUUAUGUAUACAUGGGAGGUAUCCAGGGAAAAUGAGCAUAUCUCAAAAAGAAUGCUUUGAAUUUAGGCUUCAAUACUAUCUUCAGUUGAAACAAACAAACAAAAAAAGAUGUAUUGGUCUGCUUCCUGUAGCAAUACCAGAACACCUCAUGCUGGGUAAUAUAUAAAGAAAUGGUUUUAUCUGGUUAAUGAUUCUGGUGGCUCAAGGGUCCAACCAGCAGGUUGCCAGUGGCCUGGGGAAGGCUCCCUGGCUGGGUCAUAAUUAUCUCCAAUGAGACUCCCACUUCUCAAAGACCCCACCACCCUUCCACACCACUACAUUAGAGCCCAAGCUUCCAGCACAUGAACAUUUUGGGGGUGUCGGGAUACACAUCACAUCCGAACCCCCCCAAUAGCAGAAGCAUAUUAUGGAGGGCCCUAAUGGGGAUUUGACCAGGAAAAGCAUAAUAGACAAGAGUCAGGCUUGAUAAAUGGAUUUAAUUGAGUGCUACUCCAUCGGUAAAUCUCUUAGAAAUAAGAAUCAAGAAUCACCCUCUUUCUGGUAUGAAGAGGAAAACACACUUGGAGAUUUCUGGGGUCAGUGUUGUGACAUAACAGGUUAAGCUGCCACCUACAACACCGUACUCCCGUAUGGGUGCCAGUUGAAUCCCAGCUAUUAUACUUCGGAUCCAGAUCCUUGCUAAUGCACCUGGGAAAAGCAUCAGAAGACGGCCCACGUCCUUGGGCCACUGCAGCCAUGUGGGGGACCCAGAUGAGGUUCCUGGUUCCUGGCUU
Long non-coding RNA from Oryctolagus cuniculus (rabbit), 6441 nucleotides. RefSeq lists it as uncharacterized. NCBI's taxonomy places the organism in Eukaryota, Metazoa, Chordata, Mammalia, Lagomorpha, Leporidae. The record is from RefSeq and is a predicted model, not a curated record.